Molecule: ribosomal RNA, 407 nt
Filed under: uncultured bacterium
Lineage: Bacteria
Description: bacterial SSU rRNA
Rfam family: Bacterial small subunit ribosomal RNA
Source: RNAcentral
UGGGGAAUAUUGGGCAAUGGGCGCAAGCCUGACCCAGCAACGCCGCGUGAGGGAAGAAGGUUUUCGGAUUGUAAACCUCUGUCGCAGAAGACGAAGGAAGUGACGGUAUUCUGUGAGGAAGCCCCGGCUAACUACGUGCCAGCAGCCGCGGUAAUACGUAGGGGGCGAGCGUUGUCCGGAAUUACUGGGCGUAAAGGGUGCGUAGGCGGUUGAUUAAGUUGGAUGUGAAAUACCCGGGCUUAACGUGGGGGGUGCAUUCAAAACUGGUUAACUAGAGUACAGGAGAGGGAAGCGGAAUUCCUAGUGUAGCGGUGAAAUGCGUAGAUAUUAGGAGGAACACCGGUGGCGAAGGCGGCUUUCUGGACUGACACUGACGCUGAGGCACGAAAGCGUGGGGAGCAAACAGG